CUUUUUUACUUUUCCCCAGUUCAAUAGCAUUCUCAUUACUUUUGCUUUGAACUCUUUAUCAGAUAAAUUAUUUAUCUCUGCUUCAUUAAGGUUUUUUCAGGGGGUUUUUAUUUCUUUUUCUUUUCUUUGUCUUCUCAUUCUGUUUAACUUUGUCUGUAUGAAAUUAGGUGAAACAGUUACCUAUCUGGUCUUGAAGGUGUGCCCUUGUGUGUGAGUGUCCCUGUGCGGUUUGCACGUGUCCAGUGGCUUUGGUGGAAGAGCUGGAUUUGAAGUGAGCAGGGCUGCAUAUGUCGCGGUGGUGUGCUGGCAGUGUUUGCCACGUAGGAGGUAAGGCUGGGGUUGGAAGGACUAAAGCCAGAACUACGUGCAAGCCAGGGCUUCUGCUGUGCUCAGUGGUCAUCACAGCCCUCUCAGGUGUGAGGCCAGGAGCAGGUGCCCUGAGGGAGUUAGGUUUUUCCUGGGGGUGAAUGGUAGUCUCCACCUUGAUUUGGGAUGCGGCUGAGGCCUGAGGGCUUAGGGCUGCACUUCUGUGCUGGUUUCCCUUUUUCCCUGGUGUGCAAGCCUUGGUUGGAGGCUGGGUUGGGGCCUGAGGAGUUGCUGCCUCACCACUGGGCUGGCCCCAUCCUCUCCCAAGUGUGCACAGGGAAGGGAGCUUUGGAGAACGUGGUCUCUGCCUGGGAGCUAGUUUCACUCCCAAGUGUGUGCACCAAAACGCAUGCUAGCAAUGGCUGCCUCAGCCCUGGCCAGAGGCAUGGGCGGGGUCUGAGUUGCCUCUGCUCCCUCCAAUAAUACCCAUUCUCAUUGGAAACAGCGACCUCCGCCUUCGUGGGGAGCAAUGCCAGAGCGAGAGGGGCUGGGGCAGGAGCCUGGUGUGAGCUGUGCGGCGUGCACUGGGGGGGGUCCUGACAGGCAGGCCAGAGCCCCAGGCAGUUUCCAAUCUGCUGCGUCCGUGCUGUGCGUGUGUUCAGGAGGCCUGGUUUCUUACAGCACUCCGAUGUACAUAGUCUGAAAAGGCCUCAAUGAAAAUUAAAUUGUUUUCUGUACGGAACAAAUUCCAAUCGGACUUCAAAAUGAAGAUGCAAACAGAAACAAGAGACAAAUUAAUACCAAUCACCUGAAUAUAAUAAACAAGUGAAGGUGGGAUUUGCUGUGUGCCUAGCAUACGUGAGAUGCUGUUCUAGUCACUAGGGGUACAACAGUGAAUAAAACAGAAAAAUAAUCCUCACUUGUAUGUAGCACACAGUGAGGAAGAAUGAAAAAGGUAAAUAUAAUUAUGGCACGUUAGAAUCUGAUAAUGCCAGGCAAGAAAACCAAGGAGAUACCAGGAAAAGUUGGAGUAUAAAUUAAGGGUUGAAGUGCUGGAAAGACCAUAACAGAAAAGCAGGGUGCAACACACUCUUUUUAAGUAUUUUAGACAGGAAGCUUCUGGCUAGGCUUUUACAUAGUGUCUGACAUGACCUGUGGGCAUUUGGCUGAAGGUGCAGAAUUCCAAAUGGGGAAGACACUAUCAGUGCUUCCAGCUGUCUGCCGGAGAGCUACCUUCAUGUCCUGCCGGCACUUUGAACUCCAAAAGUUUAAAUCAGCUUUCACCCCAGCCUACUCUUGCAUUUCAAGGCUCUGCUAAUCAUGCAGUUGUCUGAGAUGGACACAUCAGAGUCUCCCCGGCUUCUUUUUCUUAUUUCUUAUUUCUCUCCACAUCUGUUUAGUUGUCAAGUAGGCCCUCCCAGUCAUGAAUAGUCAUGAAAGGUCCUCAGGGCAGCUUCCUGAGUGUCCCCAUCACCACUUGUACUGGGUGCAGUGUCGGGACUGCACAGGCAGAAACUGGGAAGGCAUUCAUAGUCAGCCCCACUUAAUCCACAAGGGGAACAUGAAUGUAAUACUGAUUUAAGAAACAGUGCAGGGUAGUCACGAAAUCAAAAUGCACUCUGGCUCAGGCAGGAAGGCCAGAAAGAUCGAAUCCAGUCAGGAUCGUGUCUUGAAGAACUAGUCGUCAGGCUACCAAGAGUUCCAUCCGCAUCCAGUUCUUUCCCGUGCCAGCCGUCCUCACUGGCACGCCAGGUUGGGUCACUCCUGCGGAUCACUGGAGCUUUCCCUUCAGUGUUUCAAGGAUGCCGUGAGCUGAGACACAACUCACCUUCCCCAGCUCUCCCUAGAUUAUUGUAGCCAUCUCCUGACUGGUCUCCCUGCUGCCAGUACCUAUCCCAGCUAUCAAUCCACCUUCCAAAACCACUAGUUCAGAAUUAUCUUUCUCAACAUGGAAACCACGUGCUGCUCCUGUGGGGGGUUUCGUUUAUUUGUUUGUUUGUUUUAAGAUGGAUUGAUUGAUUUUAUUUAUUUUUGGCUGCAUCGGGUCUCAGUUGCAGCACGCAGGAUCUUCGUUGAGGCAUGCAGGAUCUUUCGAUGCGGUACGUGGGAUCUUCGUUGUGGUGCACAGGCUUCUCUCUAGUUGUGGCGUGCGGGUUUUCUCUUCUCUAGGUGUGGCGCAUGGGCUCCAGGGCACGUGGGCUCUGUAGUUUGCGACACGCAGGCUCACUAUUUGUGGCGCGUGGGCUUAGUUGCCAAUGGCAUGUGGGAUCUUAGUUCCCUGACAAGGGAUAAAACCCACGUCCCCUGCAUCAGAAGGCGGAUUCUUUACCACUGGACCACCAGGGAAGCCCCUGCUCCUGUGUUGAAACAAACAAACUUAGAUGCUUCCCCAUUCAGCAUGAUAAGUCAGACUCCUGGGGGACCAUAUUGGACCCUCCAUACACUGGCUCCGCCCCGCUUUUCCAGCCCCAGCUCCUGCCACCUCUCCCAUUUUACCCAUAUGAGUUCUUCCACAGAUAAGUGCAGUUCCCUCAUGCCUGUGUCUUUGGUUACAUUCUUUCUUCUGCCUGGGAUUCCCUUCACUUUUUCUUCUGUCUGGAAGAGAAAAACAGAGACAGAGGGAUAUUCAUUACUUAAAUAAGAGUUUCUUUGCAGUAAUAAAUGAGGACUCCAUGGAAAACAAAAAUAUUCAGCCUUACUGAUGAGCCUAACAUAGAAUUCUACUAUGCAUGUCAUGAGGACAUGAAGAAAUUCAUAGAUAGAGAAAAUCAGUCAACUCAGAAUAAUCAGUAACCUGAUUAUUCUGCCUCUACAGGGGUAAAGAAAAAGUAGUCCCAUGAAACCAUUGCUUAUAAUAAAGACAUCUCAUGUUGACAAAUUGACUGUAAGUCAGGUCAAGAAAUACACUGAUUCUCAACAUUCCUUCUGAUCAAGUCAUGCUACACGCCAUAGGACCAAGGUUACAUUUUGUCCAGGGAGAAAUUCUAGCCAACAAUGUGGGAAAUAACCUGGACAAGAACUUCAGUUCUUUAAAGACAAACGUACCGGAUGUAGUGAAAAAAAUUUGAAACUCCAGAAUAUUUGAAAGGCAAGUUCUGGGGGUUUGAUUAAAAUUCUGGAGACAAAUUUUAAAAAGAUGAACUGUUAAGAGUAAACAAAUAUUUGGAGAAACCAAUAGACAAAAAUACAAAUAUCUCUAAUGGAGGGAUUGGCAUUAAAGGUAUAAUCCUUGGGCUUGAAGAGGACAGAGAAAACAAAAGAAUAUUAUGUAAGGAAGUGGGAUAAAAUAUUGAAAAGAUAGAAAUCUAUACAGAUGUUAUAAGUAUUUAUAAAAUUUAUUUAUCAAGAGAAACUAUUCCUUAGCCCAGAUAUUACUAGUUCAUAGUUUCAUAGUUCAGGAACACAGGUAAGUGACAAACUUCCAUGGAACUCAACCCAAACUCUAAAAGGAACUCUAAAAUUUUUUUCAAAAAUAUAAAAAAUAGGGCUUCCCUGGUGGGACAGUGGUUAAGAAUCUGCCUGCCAAUGCAAGGGAAACAGGUUCGAGCCCUGACCCGGGAAGAUCCCACAUGCUGUGGAGCAACUAAGCCCGUGCGCCACAACUACUGAGCCUGAGCUCUAGAGCCCAUGAGCCACAACUACUGAGCCCACGUGCCACAACUACUGAAGCCUGCACACCUAGAGCCCAUGCUCCCCAACAAGAGAAGCCACGACAAUGAGAAGCCCGCGCACCGAAAGGAAGAGCAGACCCUGCUCACUGCAGCUAGAGAAAGCCCGCAUGCAGCAACAAAGACCCAACAUAGCCAAAAAUAAAAUAAUUUAAAAUAUAUAUAUAUGUAUGUAUAUAUAAAUAUCCCCAAUGAAGUAGAGGCAAUGAAGAGAAGGUAAAGUUUAAAGUCCUGCUUUCUACUGAAGAAGAAAUACAAGCCUGGAGAGGAGCAUGGAGGAGGAAGCAGCAGCCUGGAGUUCAGAACUUACCAGAAGGACAAACCUAAGUAAUUCAGAAGUCUCAGAAAGACACAGAAGGACUCUUGUGUACAAGGAAAAUGAAACUAAACAUUUUAAUCAUUGCAUCAUGCAACUGAAAUAGCCAGAUCUUCAUUCUGAAUCAGGUGGCAAAUACAAUAUAACAAAAGAGAAAAUGAAAGGUGUAAAUCAAUGAAUGGACAACAGGUAGAUCUUUGGAAUGAGGUGCUAAGAGAUCAGAAAAGAGAUGAUUUAUGUCCUGUGUGCAAAAACAGUUACUGAACGCGAGUUCAUGUACCCAACGCACAGUGAGGCCAAAUAAUACCAAGACAUCGGAGUUUGGAGCAGAGAAAGGUUUAUUGCAGGACCAUGCAAGGAGAUGUGGGCUCGUGCCUCCUCGAAGGGUUUCAGCAAAGCACUUUUAUAGGCAAGGUGAGGGAGGGGCAUGGUUAGUUGUUGCAAACUUCUUGGUGUCUGCGCACUGAGGAUUUACUAUGUGGGGUCUGAAACGGUGGUCUCUGUAGUGCAUGCAUCCCUUCCACGUUUAUCUGCUGGCGCUCUU
This is a long non-coding RNA of Orcinus orca (killer whale), 4834 nucleotides long. RefSeq lists it as uncharacterized. The transcript has 3 exons. NCBI's taxonomy places the organism in Eukaryota, Metazoa, Chordata, Mammalia, Artiodactyla, Delphinidae. The record is from RefSeq and is a predicted model, not a curated record.